RNAcentral lists this ribosomal RNA (497 nucleotides) under uncultured bacterium. Its description in RNAcentral is "partial 16S ribosomal RNA". It matches the Rfam family "Bacterial small subunit ribosomal RNA", at positions 28 to 507 of the family's 1533-position model. The record is from RNAcentral.
GAUGAACGCUGGCGGCGUGCCUAAUACAUGCAAGUCGAGCGAACGGACGAGAAGCUUGCUUCUCUGAUGUUAGCGGCGGACGGGUGAGUAACACGUGGAUAACCUACCUAUAAGACUGGGAUAACUUCGGGAAACCGGAGCUAAUACCGGAAAUAAUUUUAAACGGAAGGGUUCAAAGGUGAAAGAGGGCUUGGCUGCAACUAAUAGAUGGAUCCGCGCUGCAUUAGCUAGUUGGUAAGGUAACGGCUUACCAAGGCAACGAUGCAUGGCCGACCUGAGAGGGUGAUCGGCCACACUAGAACUGAGACACGGUCCAGACUCCUACGGGAGGCAGCAGUAGGGAAUCUUCCGCAAUGGGCGAAAGCCUGACGGAGCAACGCCGCGUGAGUGAUGAAGGUCUUCGGAUCGUAAAACUCUGUUAUUAGGGAAGAACAUAUGUGUAAGUAACUGUGCACAUCUUGACGGUACCUAAUCAGAAAGCCACGGCUAACUACGUG